UGGUGAUAAAAGCAAAAGGGAAACACCUGUAUCCAUACCGAACACAGAAGUUAAGCCUUUUAACGCUGAAAGUACUAGUUUGGAGACGAACUGGGAGGAUAGGAAGUUGCC
This 111-nucleotide ribosomal RNA is filed under the name Neofamilia massiliensis. The record is from RNAcentral. Lineage: Bacteria; Bacillati; Bacillota; Clostridia; Eubacteriales.